UGCGUAGGCGGUUUCGUGUGUCGGAUGUGAAAUCCCAUGGCUCAACUAUGGAAUUGCAUUCGAAACUACGAGACUAGAGUGCAGGAAGGGAGAGCGGAAUUCCUGGUGUAGCGGUGAAAUGCGUUGAUAUCAGGAGGAACACCGGUGGCGAAGGCGGCUCUCUGGAAUGUUACUGACGCUGAGGCACGAAAGCGUGGGGAGCAAACA
This 207-nucleotide ribosomal RNA is filed under the name uncultured bacterium. RNAcentral's name for it is "partial 16S ribosomal RNA". It matches the Rfam family "Bacterial small subunit ribosomal RNA", at positions 568 to 774 of the family's 1533-position model. The record is from RNAcentral.